Long non-coding RNA from Astatotilapia calliptera (eastern happy), 3976 nucleotides. The record is from Ensembl. Lineage: Eukaryota; Metazoa; Chordata; Actinopteri; Cichliformes; Cichlidae.
UAUUUUGCAGAAGUCUUUUAAUCAAAGAAAAGAAAAUCAUGUCACAGAACUGAUAACACAUCACGCCCCAUGGGAGAAAAAAACAACAAGCAAUUUUCUGAUGUGGAUUUUCAGACUUGUUAAGACACAAAGAAGGCGGUGGAAAUACUCUAUGCCAUUUCAGUUUUUUACACAAUGGUUCACUCAGCGUUUGAAUCUCCAUAAUGAUCUAAAUUCUAAAAGGAACCCAUAAUAGACAUUUGUCUGAACUAACAUUUUCUCAAACAUUUCUAUUAUUACAUAUACAAAAUGCCCGAUAAAAAAUUGGAAAUUCAGUGCUAUCAUAACAGUUGGAAGGGAUAUGAGAUCAUAUCAAGAAACAUUACAAUAUUAGGCAAAGAAGGAAGGUCUUUAAACAGUCCAUAAACUGAGGCAAUUGAUUUAACAGAUUUUAUCUACUAUGAAAACACACCACAUUGUUAGACCAUCAUAAAGUACGUUUUAUAAAAGAACAGAAACUACAUUAUAAUAUUUCAACACAUGUUUCAGAUUUUACAUUUAAAUAAGAUAUUAGAAAUCGAUGAAUAUUGGUGUUAGUCUACAGAGGAAUUUCACCAUUGAAAACUGCGUGGAUGAGAGCAAAUUUCAAACAUCUGUGAAAGGGGUGUUGAUGCUAUGAUGGAUUACACCAAGCACAAACAAUAAUGCACUGACUCACUCUCAUGGUAACAAGUGCCAAUUAGAGAAAUGCCACUGCUCUAUAGAUACUGACCUGUCCACCCAUCAGCUGCCCCCGCUUUGUCAUCCCAGCCUCUUACGGAAAUACAGCAGUAUUAAACUGCUCUCUCUGGGUAAACUUCCCAUGAAGGAAAUUACUAAAACAGGCCCUACUCGGUCUGCUGAAUCCAUCUGCUCAUGUCUUGAUAUCUGGACCCAACUUUUCAAUGACAUUUUCACAGACUCUGUGAUAAACAGCAUGUUCAUUGUACAGCAGCCUGCAGUUUAAGUAUUCCUUUGCCAGAGAUGUCUAGACGGUUGAGUGCCAUUGCCAAGAACAUUGUUAAAUAUUAGAUUAAAUUUGCUGUAGGCUGAUGUUAUAACACAAAAUUACUAUUUAAUAAAUGGUCCUCAUGUCAGAAAAUUUUUUUAUCUGUACAAGCCCUACCAAAUAUAAUCUUUAAAUGUUGUCUGUCAGCCUCGCUGCUUAACAUUUACUCUGCAUAUUAUCAUGUCUGGGCUAAAUGUCCUGAUUUUAACUCCAGAAAAUUAUGAAAUAAAUGUUUAUUCUGGUUACAAAGCUAAAACAAAAAAUCCCUAAUUAUACAAUAUUAGCAUAGCUUUAGUUAAAUUUUGUUUUAUUUACAAAGAGUUGUGUAUGAGCAUGCAGCAGGUAGGCAGAAAACCACAGAAUAUCUUUAUUAACAAGGGUAACUUGUAGUAAUAAAAAAUAAGAAUAUAGUUGCCAGAAAAAAACAGUAAAAUAGGUGACUAUUUUUCACUGGAUUUUUUGCUGGAUAGCUAGCGCUCAUAACCAGAGAUAAAAUAACAUGAAAGUCAGGUUAGUAUGAUAAAGGAGUUUCUGUGUGAUUGAGGUCCACGUUAAAAAGCAGAUGCACAAGUGGUAGACUAAAAAUACAUCCUCAAUGAGAGCAGUCCGGAGGUUCACCACAAAGUAACCUUGAAGGAGAGAUUGGCCUAUUAAAAAAAAAAAAGUACAUUGUGGGGGGGUCCAAAUUCAUAGGCUGCAUCCUCCUGACGGUCUACGUGGACCGGGUCCUCCUUAGGCCGGGUAGACCGGAAGUGAGCGGCUGUGAAAUUGAACAGUCCAGCCUUCAGUUUUGUGUCACCAGCUGUCUCGGUGGAGUUUAAUAAACUUGGCCAUCUGCUCCUUUCUAUCUAAAAUAUAACAGGACACUGACGUAAAUUCUCGAUCAUUCACACGUCUGUUUAAUCAGUUUUCCGUUUGACGUUUAUUCAGCUGUGUGAAAACUAUAACUUUAAUCUCAGCUAAACUGAUUUACUCACGAACAAAUAAAACAGUAAAAAAAGCCAAACAAUAACAUUUUAAAGUUAUCUAAGCGACACAUAUAUAAUGUUUAACCUGAGUAGCGAAAGACCGCGGGGGGUUUGAAAAUGAUGUGCAGGGAGUUUGCUGUUAUCUAGCUAGCUAGCUAUCGAGCUGGUGGGUAACAGACGCCUCCGAAAAUGUCGGCGCACUUUUGCAGAUGUGUGAUAUCUUGAUAAACCAAGCAGAGUUUACACACCCACAUUCUCGCCUGAAAAUAUCUUAAAAGUUUAUUUUGUGACCCAGAAAGAUUAAUAAGAGUAAUAUUAAAACUUAGUAGCGACCGCCAUUGUUGAAAACUGGAAUUGGCUGGGCCACACUAUGAAUUCUGGGACAUGGUGGGCCAGGAAGGACACGCCCGACCCAUCCUUCUCUGCUGUAAAAGGCUGAUGGAGUUUUGUCGUCACCACACCUGGUGGGCAGGUGGUGUGGACAUCUAAGUCUGUUUAUGCGAUAACUCAAGAAUCACAUGACCUAGGAGCUUCAAAUUGAUAUCAUACGUGCAUGUACAAAACAUCUUGUAUAAAGUUGAAUUUCGGGGACCUUGACCUUGGAAUCUCAGUGGCCUCGGCGUAAAGGUCCAUGACGAAAUAUUUUCAGUUAAAAAACUGCUUUUCAUCUUAAUAAGUGUCAAACUUGAUCAUAAGAGAGCAGUCAAGGCCAUGCCGGCAACCAGCUAGGAACUAUGAAAUGGCUUGUAUUCAUUUUAUGUGAUACUGCAAUUUGUGCUUCAUUUUGCUAUCUGCCCUGAAUAAAAAAUACAUAAAUAAAUAAAUAAAAACCUGCCUGCUGCAGCAUACUAUUAAUCUUAGGUGUUUUUACAAAUGCACUGAAAGUUCUGGGUGCUGACUUUUUCUAACUAUUAUAUGAUGGAGAAUCUGUAAAAGCUCAAAUAUUUGUUGCAUUAGAUGAUCUUUAACCUGUCAGCUCCUCAGUACAAAGUCUGUAUGAUAAUUGAUUGUGCUAAUUUGGGAGUGAUGCAGCUAACAGUCCAGAAGUUUCACGGCUUCUGAAUGGUUGUAAUGUCUCCUGCAUGAUCUGUCUAGUCUUUGUUAAAACCAAAAGGUAUCAUUUCUGGGAGUGACAGAACUUCAGAUUAUGUCAUAUUGUGUGAUCCAUAUGAGAAAGGACAGCUUAGGUAAUUUCCUGAUUUGGUCUCCUGACAUUGUUUAAGUACUUGUGAGAAAACUAAAAAAGUCACAGAAAUCAGUUAACGUUUGGGGGAUUAAACAAUAGACUGUAAAUAAAAGAUGAACAUAGCCUCCUUGUUUGAAAAGUGAAGCCAAUAUGGAAAGUGCCUUAAGCAAGUUUUCUUCCAAUAAAUAGUAGAGGCUGACUCAUCAGGUUGCAAGUCUACAGGAAGAAAAACCCUUCUGCUCAAUGAGUCUCAGUAAACCUCUUGUCAAAUUUGCCACUACCAUUUAAAACAAUAAAGUAGAAUGUGCUUUAUGUUGGCCUAGGCUAUGAUUGAUGAGCAGUAUUUGGGUCAUUACUCCAAAGUAAUACAUCACACAUUUCUCAUUACUUUCCUCAUAAGUAAUGUAGUACAUUACAUAAUUACUCAUUCGGGAAAUUAACUGGUUACACUUGCUAAAUUAAUUUUGUGUUUUCCUUUAAUAAUCAGCUAACUAUAUAAACCCAAAGCUAUAAUGCACAAACUGACACAAAUCCCUGUCUCACUGAGGACAAACAUAUCAGAUCUGCCUUUUAGUGUCACCUACAAACACAGAACCUACAAUGUGCUUUCUUUGCUAGCUUUUGCAUUAGCAUGCUAUCUGUGCAGAUGCCUGCAAAGAGCCAAUGCUGUGUGAGCAGUACAAUGUGGCUGUUUCUAUUGUAGAUGUAGUUUGCACUUUGCCAUUGCGCUCUUGUUCUUUCGUGCAAUAAAAAUAAAAGGAAUAUCCAAAGUUCCACUCCUUAAAUGGUGUAGAC